GAGGAUAUGCUUUCAAAAGGACUAAUUCAGCUGACAUUUCAUAGUGAUUUUGGUUAAGGGUUUCUCUAUGUCGGGCUGGCGACUUUAAAACUAGCGCUUGGUGGGAGGCAACCCACUGUUGGUUUGUUUUAGUUUUUAUUUUUCUUAUUCUUUGCUUUCCGUUUUUUUUGUGUUUUUCUUUGGUUGCUUGUGCGGAUGCUUUGAUUUUGGGUGUUAAUGUUUUUGUUUCCAACGCUGCAAUUUUUCUACUCUGACCUUGCCGCCAGCGCUGAAGAAUGCUAGCGCUGCACUUU
This 293-nucleotide long non-coding RNA is filed under the name Salvia miltiorrhiza (redroot sage). Its description in RNAcentral is "long non-coding RNA (SMIL_LNC003005)". Lineage: Eukaryota; Viridiplantae; Streptophyta; Magnoliopsida; Lamiales; Lamiaceae. The record is from RNAcentral.